RNAcentral lists this ribosomal RNA (428 nucleotides) under Chloroflexota bacterium. Its description in RNAcentral is "Chloroflexi bacterium partial 16S ribosomal RNA". It matches the Rfam family "Bacterial small subunit ribosomal RNA", at positions 355 to 776 of the family's 1533-position model. Lineage: Bacteria; Bacillati; Chloroflexota. The record is from RNAcentral.
UGGGGAAUAUUGCACAAUGGGCGCAAGCCUGAUGCAGCCAUGCCGCGUGUAUGAAGAAGGCCUUCGGGUUGUAAAGUACUUUCAGUCGGGAGGAAGGUGGUAAGGUUAAUAACCUUGGCAAUUGACGUUACCGACAGAAGAAGCACCGGCUAACUCCGUGCCAGCAGCCGCGGUAAUACGGAGGGUGCAAGCGUUAAUCGGAAUUACUGGGCGUAAAGCGCACGCAGGCGGUUGAUUGAGUCAGAUGUGAAAUCCCCGGGCUUAACCCGGGAAUUGCUUGUGAUACUGGUAAGCUAGAUUCUUGUAGGGGGGGGUAGAAUUCCAUGUGUAGCGGUGAAAUGCGAAGAGAUGUGAGGAAUACCGGUGGCGAAGGCGGCCCCCUGGACAAAGACUGACGCUCAGGUGCGAAAGCGUGGGGAGCAAACAGG